Molecule: ribosomal RNA, 114 nt
Filed under: Eisenbergiella porci
Lineage: Bacteria; Bacillati; Bacillota; Clostridia; Lachnospirales; Lachnospiraceae
Description: partial 16S ribosomal RNA
Rfam family: Bacterial small subunit ribosomal RNA
Source: RNAcentral
UUAAACAAGAGAGUUUGAUCCUGGCUCAGGAUGAACGCUGGCGGCGUGCCUAACACAUGCAAGUCGAACGGAGUUAUGCAGAGGAAGUUUUCGGAUGGAAUCGGCGUAACUUAG